Ictalurus punctatus (channel catfish) is the source of this 2788-nucleotide long non-coding RNA. RefSeq lists it as uncharacterized. The transcript has 2 exons. Lineage: Eukaryota; Metazoa; Chordata; Actinopteri; Siluriformes; Ictaluridae. The record is from RefSeq and is a predicted model, not a curated record.
GCUGUAUGCUAGCUGUAAGCUAACGGCUAAGGUGCCUUAUCUUUGUUAAUAAAUUAUGUAUUUAUUAAUUGAUAAAAACAGGAUAUUUCAUGGUAUUCUGUAUUUACGACUGCUACCACUGGUCAGGUUUUAAUGUCGAUUGACCGCAGAUACAGUGGAGUCCGACCCGUCGGCGAAGGUUCUGGAUUAACCUCGAAGAAACUGUUCCAGUAAUGGAUGGUGAGCCCCGCCCACUUGAUCUAGAACCUGAUUGCAGCUAGGAGACUGCAAUUUCAGCACGCUGCAUCCGAGAGCUUUGAUUUAUUUUCCCUUGGCUAAAAGGGAUCAGAUAGAACUGUGCGCACAUUGACACUUGUUUCCUUCGGAGGAGGACACUCGGACUGCACUGACUCGGUGCUCGGUGAACCUUCUCACCAGGACUCGAGUUUAGUUAAGUGAGUAGUUCAGUGUGAUCUGAUUUGAGUACCACUUUGUUUGAAGGAUGUUGUGUUAACUUAAUAAUUGUGUAGUGUACAUAUACUGUGUUCUUCUGAUAAUUGUUUAGUGUAUAAGUUGGGAUUCUAAUUUAUUUUUUAUUUCCUUACUGUUAUAAUUGUUCCUAUUGGUUAUUUUAUACAAUAUGUGAAGUUAUUAUUUAUUAUUAUUAUUUCUAGAACAUUAGAUUAUUUUUCUAGAACAGCAUACCCUGUCGUGUUGCAUUUCCUACAUAUUUUCAAUUUGCCUUUUUAAAAAAAAAAAAAACAAACAAACCCAAAAAACAGUCUUACUAUUACUUAAGAUUUGAUACCUUUUUGCUACAGGUACUAUUUUUUAGAUGCCAUGUUUUAUUCAAAUGUAGACACGCCGUAUGCGCAUAAAACAAUGUUAUUAACUCUUAUAACCCAGAAAUAUUUAUUACUUGCUCAAAUGUAUUCAUCACUGACUGAACAAAAACUGGAUACUGUAUGGUGAAGGAUAAAUAGUAACAUCAGAAAUUUACGUGUGAACACGAUUAGCAUAAACUCAAACAAAGAAGACUUCCUUGGAAAUAAUGGUCCUGGUAAUUGCGUUCUUCCUGACAUUUUAUUUGUUCUUACAAUAUUCCCAGAAGUGUGUCUUCCUCCUUCAACAUAUCCUUAAGAUGCAUCCUAAAUGGACAAAAAGAAAAAAAAAAAACAGUUAAAUUAACUACUUGCGCUCUUUAUAAUGAAUCAAAGGCUGAAGGCAGCUUCUGAGAGCAUGGUUUCCUACCCGAUUAGCAGAGUCUUGGUUCUGGCACAUGAUCUGAGUACGGUAGUUCUCAUACAACGUGUCCUCAGUCACGUCUUUCAGGUCCUGCGUGUGUGUAUGUACCAGCAUGCUCCUCAGAUAGACAGUGUCAGAGUGAGCAGGGUUCUCCACUUCGAGAAGACGUGUGAUGAAGAGAAUGGAGCCGCUGUAGCAGGAUUAAGCAUUUCUUUUUAUAAAAGAUUAUAAAGGAGCAUACAAAGUUAGGGUCCGAGAACCAUCCCAUGUCUCCAAACUCAUUAGAAAUGACAGUAUUGUUUUGUUAUUGCUUCUAAAACACGCUUGAUGAAAUUUUUUUGAUUAAUUAUUAUAUCUAUUUUAAAAAAACAAUUCACCUCUUGUGUCUUGCCUUAAAUCUGAUAGAGUGCGUUUAUGAUACUGUUCAAAUAUAGUAAAGGGAAAGACACUUUGGUUUUUGAGAAAUGGCUGGAAAAGAGUCGCAGGACGACCUGAAAGCAGCAGGAACACCAGUUACACAGUGAACAGUAAGCAAUGAAAAGCACCGCAAUCAACUUUUUAUUUUUAUUUAUUUUUUUUACACCCCACACUCUGCUGGAACAAUAACAAUAAUAACAAAGCUCCUCCUUCAAUAUAUCCUUAAGAUACAUCCUAAAUGGACAAAAAGAAGAAGAAAAAACAGUUAAAUUAACUACUUGCGCUCUUUAUAAUGAAUCAAAGGCUGAAGGCAGCUUCUGAGAGCAUGGUUUCCUACCCGAUUAGCAGAGUCUUUGUUUUGGCACAUGGUCUGAGUACGGUAGUUCUCAUACAACGUGUCCUCAGUCACUUCUUUCAGGUCCUGCAUGUGUAUAUGUACCAGCAUGCUCCUCAGAUAGACAAAGUCAGAGUGAGCAGGGUUCUCCACUUCGAGAGGACAUGUGAUGAAGAGAAAUGGAAAGCAAUUUACUUGAGAAAGAAAUACAUACUAUGAGAGAUGUCUUACAAUACUAUUAACUGGAGAUGCACCGAUGUACCGGCCAAUAAAGGCUGUUAUUCCCACUAUCGGCCGAUAGUUUAAAAACGUCCGACGAUCAGGGCCGAUUAUAUCCUGUCAACAAAAGAGGGCAGGAAAACACAUCAUAGGGUCUAAUCCCACAACCCCCCAACCCACUCACGCUGAAUUAAAGGGCCAGUAUGCCGUUGAAAGAUUUAAAUGAAGUUGAAUGACAAAAAAGUAGUAUAUAUUGCACAGAAAAAUAUAUUUGUAGUGUAUUUCAUAUGCAGUUAAUGUUAAGGAGUUAAUAUAAUCAAAAAAAGGUUAUAUUAGGCCAAUAUAGUACCAGUGUAAUGUCACUGAUGAACUAGAAAUGCUUUUGUUGCGAGUGAAUGUGAGCCUAACAGGAGUUUUUUUUUUUUUUUUUUUUUUUUUUUUUUUUUAAGAAUUCAAUGAGUUAAGAAAUCUUAAUUUAAUCUUCAGAAUUGAGUUCAUGUGUUAAUGUUAAUGUGAGUCAUGUGUUUUCUGUUGAUGAGACCAGUUACUGUGAAACAACUUGCUGAAAUGGAGAUAAUAAAGUUUUUAUUUGCA